This 71-nucleotide transfer RNA is filed under the name Ovis aries (sheep). It matches the Rfam family "tRNA". From Rfam's summary of the family: Transfer RNA (tRNA) molecules are approximately 80 nucleotides in length. Lineage: Eukaryota; Metazoa; Chordata; Mammalia; Artiodactyla; Bovidae. The record is from Rfam by way of RNAcentral.
UCCCUGGUGGCUCAGUGGUGAAGCGUCUACCUGCCCUGCAGGAGACACAGGUCCAAUCCCUGUUCUGGGAA